This 253-nucleotide ribosomal RNA is filed under the name uncultured prokaryote. RNAcentral's name for it is "partial 16S ribosomal RNA". It matches the Rfam family "Bacterial small subunit ribosomal RNA", at positions 524 to 776 of the family's 1533-position model. The record is from RNAcentral.
GACGAACCACACGAACGUUAUUCGGAAUUACUGGGCUUAAAGGGUGCGUAGGCGGCGCGGUAAGUUGGAUGUGAAAGCCCCGGGCUCAACCUGGGAACUGCAUCCAAAACUAGCGAGCUAGAGUAGGGCAGAGGGUGGUGGAAUUUCCUGUGUAGCGGUGAAAUGCGUAGAUAUAGGAAGGAACACCAGUGGCGAAGGCGACCACCUGGGCUCAUACUGACACUGAGGUGCGAAAGCGUGGAGAGCAAACAGG